Small nuclear RNA from Penaeus monodon (black tiger shrimp), 156 nucleotides. RefSeq annotates it as U1 spliceosomal RNA. Lineage: Eukaryota; Metazoa; Arthropoda; Malacostraca; Decapoda; Penaeidae. The record is from RefSeq and is a predicted model, not a curated record. The transcript has a single exon.
AUACUUACCUGGCCAGGAGAUACCGUGAUCAUGAAAGGGGGUUUCCAAGGGGGCUCACCAUUGCACUCCCGGGGGCGGACCCUUUCGAUUAACCCCAAAUGUGGUUUAAUCGAGUGCGCAAUUUUGUUAGGGGGGGGCGGUUCGCGCUAUCCCCCU